AAAACCACCAUUGCCGCAUCGAAAAAUUGGAAACAAUGGAGACUGGAUCGCCGAUGGUAUCGAUUUCUCCUCCCCCAAACCCUGUCCUGCCUUAAAUCCGCCCACCCACGCAGAGAUCUUAUUAGGUCAGAGUUGUGCAGAUCCAAACACACGGAGGGAACAAGGGAUGGAAAUCUUCAGAGCUAGUAAGGGCGCACUGCGAAGAUUAGAUAGUAGGAUGCUGACCGUUUGUGCUGAACGUGGGGAAAUGAUGAGGAGGAACGGUUGCAUCCCGCCGCCACCGCAGUUUGAGUUGGUCGAUUAUCCAGAUUUUUUCGAGAGAGCUUGGGGAUGGGAUUCCUUACUUCCACACAAUAUGGUUACUCCUUUGUUCCUAUACAAGAUGUACCUCCGGCAGUGUUACAUCCGCAAUCACCAAAUGGAAGCCAUUGCUGCUGGUGCCGAUGAUCUCGGUCUCGAUGGAGAUGAUCACGGGAAUGGAAUGCUAGCAGCUCUGGCUGGCUCGGUAGCUUCCUGCCUGGCACCUUGUUAUCCUGUUUAGCUUCUAAGUUCCCUAGCUUCAUCUUCUGAUUAGUUUAUAUAUGCUCACAACAUUUGUGAAAUCAUUUGAUUUUCGAGAGGAUUUCAGCCGAGGUGGUGUUCCUGGGUUCAAAUGUUAUUGCAAACCUCCCUCACUGCAGUCCUGGUGAAUGGCUGCCCUGGCCCGUGGAUAAGCUGCAAGCGUGGGCUUCGGCAGGGAGACCCCAUGUCCCCGUACUUAUUCCUGCUCGUGGCUGACGUCCUGCAGACUUUGAUCAAGCGCGCGAGCUCGGUGCGCAAUCCACUGGAUCCACGGUGCCCCUGCCCUGUGUUGCAAUAUGCCGACGACACGCUCAUCUUGCUCCGUGGCGAGCUGAGCGAUGUGCAGAAUCUGAAGGUUAUCUUGGAUCAGUUCUCUGCAGCUACCGGCUUACACAUAAACUUCCACAAGAGCACCGCUGUGCCCAUGCAUAUGGGCGAGGACCUCAUACCACAAUGCAUCGAUGUGCUGGGCUGUCGCCGUGAAGGCUUCCCUCAAACCUAUCUGGGACUGCCGCUUUCCUGCGAGAAGCUGCGUGUGUCUGCAUUUGAUCCUUACAUCUGCAAGGUUGAUCGCUACCUGGCUGGCUGGAAGGCGUCCCUCCUCAAUCCGAUAGGAAGAACGGUGCUGAUAAAUGCUGUUUUAGAUGGCCAAUUAUCCUAUGUCAUGAUGGCAGUGCCGUUGCCACUUGGGGUGAUCACCACGGUUGACAAGCGUCGGAGGAGCUUCCUCUGGACGGGAGAAGCAGACUCAAGUGGCGCUAAUUGUCUGAUGGCCUGGGACAAGGUCCGUCAGCCGCGCGCCAAAGGUGGACUAGGAAUCAGGGACCUGGCUGUGCAGAACACCUGUUUUGCUACUUAAGCUGCUAUAUAAACUGCACAACGAUACCCAGUCAUCGUGGGCAAAAUGGGUUCGGCAAAAUGUUUGCUUAGCUACGCUGGAGGGGGAAAUAGCUGGCUCGCACUGGGAAAUGCUGCGCAGCCUGCUGCCGCUCUACCAGGCAAUCACCACUGUUAACGUUGGAGAUGGAUGCUCUACAUCGUUUUGGGAUGACAUCUGGAUUGGUGAUGAUUGUCUCUCGGACAGGUUCCCAUUGCUACAGAGUCACUGCAAGCAAGCAAAUCAAUCAGUUUCUGAUGUUGUCCGUCAUGGCCUGCGCCACCACCUUGUCCCCAGCUUGACACCUGAAGCACAAUCUGAGCUCAGCCUGCUGGGCGUUCUCCUCUCUCAGGUGAACCUUGAGGACAAACCGGACAGUCGGUGUUCGUUGUUUGCGGAUGUGGAAGGGAAUCUGCGAACCUCGGAACUAUAUGCCCUGAUCAAGUCGAUGGGCACAGCGGACGGGGGUGUGGUCAGUUGCUUCUGGAAGAGCUGCGCGCCACCUCGAGUCCAAUUCUUUGCCUGGCUGCUGGUAAACGGGCGAAUCCAGUGCAAAGACAACCUCCUUCGGCGGAAGAUUGUGCAAGAUAACUCAUGCGACCUGUGCAACAGUGAGCCUGAAACUACUCUGCAUCUGCUCUUUCGCUGUCCGUUUGCUGCCUCCUUCUGGCGGGCUCUUGGGAUUGAAUUGCCGCCUGGUCUUGACAUCCACGACGUGCACAAAAUCCCCCGUCCAGAUACGAUUCCCGCUGCGCAUUUUGAUGCCUUCAUCCUUCUUUGCUGUUGGCACCUGUGGAAGAGGAGGAACAGCAUCACCUUCAGACAGGAAACAAUGUCGCUGCGCCAAACGCUGCAGGCCUGCCGGAGCGAUGCGAAAUUGUGGAGUUGUCGUCUACCGCGUGCUGAGCGACAUCUCGGAGACCUCUGGUGUUCCUUGUUUUCUUUGGCAAUGUAAACUGAUAUGUAAAAUGUAAACCACUAACUAUCCGGCCGUUUGAGGGCCACUGGAAUAAAAAUAGAAAACCCAGGUGGGGGAUCCUCUCCCCCUCCGUUGACCCGUCAAAAAAAUCAUUUGUUUUCAAGUGUAUCAAGAUGGAGAAUAGUCUUAAACAUGUGUGGGAAUGCCGUGCUGAAUCCUUCACUAUUGAUGAUGACGAGACGGAGGUCCAAUUGGUGAGUGACAACAUUACCAAGCGCGCUCAUGAAAUGGCUCAAAUUCGGGGAUCUGAAUUUCCUGCCACUGCUAUUGCUCUUAAGGUAUGUUUGCAUCCCUAUCUCUAACUUUAACAUACCAAGCAAACCCCUCCUUAAUUGGAAUGAUCAAUAAUGUUUGUAAAUUGACUCCUCUUGUGCUGAUUGCAAACCAUGUUUAAUUUCAAUUGUAUCACCAAAGAGGCUGAGCUGAUGCGCCAGUGCAUUAUUUCUGGGGAUUCCGUCAUGUCCUUCAGUUUAAGCAAUUCUCUUCGGCGGUGUGCCUUGAUCCUUAUGACCUGCAAAGAUUAUGUUCCUGCCGCCGCUGCCAUGAUGGAGUGACAUUACUGGAGAUUUGAAUUCCAAUGAAUUAGAUAAUAAACUGGCUGAUAAUGGCAAUCAUGAGGAAAGGGGCAAUGUAAGUGAAAAUAAGAACUCCAAGAAGGAACUAGCAAGGAAGGAUGGAAGCAAUAGGACAUAUGAAGAUCAGAUUCCCAAUGAGAAACUAGGAAGAAACAGCCUGGACAAGGGCGAGGGAAAGCUAGAUAACUUCUCACAGCAAGGGCUUUUUUAGAAGGCUGGUACAGAAGAGCAAGUUAACCAGGUGGGAAGCAGCAAUGAGGAUGGUUCUGCUUCUAAGGAGGAGAAGCUGUCUGGAAAAGCUGGUGGUCCCAAAAAGUGGAUUUCAGGAUGCUUUACUUUGGGGAAACGAGGAAGGAACGCCAAUGGAACAGCAAGCUAAUGAACAAUGAUGCCGAAUUCUCAUCUAGUAGAUGAACUCUCCUAUAAUGAAUAAUGAUGCCGAAUUCUCAUCUAAUAGAUGAACUCUCUCCUAUAUUUUGCAUUGGUGUAGCUCUUGUUAUGGACAAUCUGUGAUUAGCGCUCUAGACAUUUUUCUCAUAAGAGGAAAAUGAAACGUGUUGAUGCUAUGAU
This is an RNA transcript of Panicum virgatum (switchgrass), 3562 nucleotides long. RefSeq lists it as uncharacterized. The transcript has 8 exons. The record is from RefSeq and is a predicted model, not a curated record. Lineage: Eukaryota; Viridiplantae; Streptophyta; Magnoliopsida; Poales; Poaceae.